GUGGGGAAUCUUAGACAAUGGGCGCAAGCCUGAUCUAGCCAUGCCGCGUGAGCGAUGAAGGCCUUAGGGUUGUAAAGCUCUUUCAGCUGGGAAGAUAAUGACGGUACCAGCAGAAGAAGCCCCGGCUAACUCCGUGCCAGCAGCCGCGGUAAUACGGAGGGGGCUAGCGUUGUUCGGAAUUACUGGGCGUAAAGCGCACGUAGGCGGAUCAGAAAGUCAGAGGUGAAAUCCCAGGGCUCAACCUUGGAACUGCCUUUGAAACUCAUGAUCUUGAGGUCGAGAGAGGUGAGUGGAAUUCCGAGUGUAGAGGUGAAAUUCGUAGAUAUUCGGAGGAACACCAGUGGCGAAGGCGGCUCACUGGCUCGAUACUGACGCUGAGGUGCGAAAGCGUGGGGAGCAAACAGGAUUAGAAACCCGGGUAGUCC
RNAcentral lists this ribosomal RNA (425 nucleotides) under uncultured bacterium. RNAcentral describes it as "partial 16S ribosomal RNA". It matches the Rfam family "Bacterial small subunit ribosomal RNA", at positions 354 to 796 of the family's 1533-position model. The record is from RNAcentral.